CCCAGGUUAGCUCAGUUCAUAGAGCGCUCCACUUGAAAUGGAGCGGUCCCGGGUUUGAUACCCGGACCAGGCG
Molecule: transfer RNA, 73 nt
Filed under: Ixodes scapularis (black-legged tick)
Lineage: Eukaryota; Metazoa; Arthropoda; Arachnida; Ixodida; Ixodidae
Rfam family: tRNA
About the family: Transfer RNA (tRNA) molecules are approximately 80 nucleotides in length. Their secondary structure includes four short double-helical elements and three loops (D, anti-codon, and T loops).
Source: Rfam by way of RNAcentral